RNAcentral lists this ribosomal RNA (587 nucleotides) under uncultured bacterium. RNAcentral describes it as "partial 16S ribosomal RNA". It matches the Rfam family "Bacterial small subunit ribosomal RNA", at positions 355 to 937 of the family's 1533-position model. The record is from RNAcentral.
UGGGGAAUAUUGGACAAUGGGCGCAAGCCUGAUCCAGCAAUGCCGCGUGUGUGAAGAAGGCCUUCGGGUUGUAAAGCACUUUUAUCAGGAGCGAAACGCUGUCGGCUAAUACCCGGCGGAACUGACGGUACCUGAGGAAUAAGCACCGGCUAACUUCGUGCCAGCAGCCGCGGUAAUACGAAGGGUGCAAGCGUUAAUCGGAAUUACUGGGCGUAAAGCGUGCGUAGGCGGUUUCUUAAGUCUGCUGUGAAAUCCCCGGGCUCAACCUGGGAAUGGCAGUGGAUACUGGGAGGCUAGAGUGUGUCAGAGGGUGGUGGAAUUCCCGGUGUAGCGGUGAAAUGCGUAGAGAUCGGGAGGAACAUCAGUGGCGAAGGCGGCCACCUGGGACAACACUGACGCUGAGGCACGAAAGCGUGGGGAGCAAACAGGAUUAGAUACCCUGGUAGUCCACGCCCUAAAGCGAUGCGAACUGGAUGUUGGUCUCAACUCGGAGAUCAGUGUCGAAGCUAACGCGUUAAGUUCGCCGCCUGGGGAGUACGGUCGCAAGACUGAAACUCAAAGGAAUUGACGGGGUCAUAGCUGUUUCC